RNAcentral lists this ribosomal RNA (29 nucleotides) under fungal endophyte sp. AP768. Its description in RNAcentral is "partial 28S ribosomal RNA". The record is from RNAcentral. Lineage: Eukaryota; Fungi.
GGUUGACCUCGAUCAAGUAGGGAUACCCG